GAUAUAGAGUUCCAAUGGCAUAUCGUUUUUAUGUAGACGAUAUUAAUAGUUGUUGUAUUUGUUUUCAGAUUACCCUGGCCUCCCUAUGCAGCAUUACCCUGGCCUCCCUAUCCAGUAUUACCCUGGCCUCCCUAUGCAGUGUAUGUAUUAGUGAAUGUUCCCUUUCAGGAUAUAGAGUUCCAAUGGCAUAUCGUUUUUAUGUAGACGAUAUUAAUAGUUGUUGUAUUUGUUUUAAGAUUACCCUGGCCUCCCUAUGCAGUGUAUGUAUUAGUGAAUGUUCCCUUUCAGGAUAUAGAGUUCCAAUGGCAUAUCGUUUUUAUGUAGACGAUAUUAAUAGUUGUUGUAUUUGUUUUCAGAUUACCCUGGCCCCCCUAUGCAGUGUAUGUAUUAGUGAACGUUCUCUUUC
Ornithodoros turicata is the source of this 406-nucleotide long non-coding RNA. RefSeq lists it as uncharacterized. The record is from RefSeq and is a predicted model, not a curated record. The transcript has 3 exons. Lineage: Eukaryota; Metazoa; Arthropoda; Arachnida; Ixodida; Argasidae.